GACGAACGCUGGCGGCGUGCCUAAUACAUGCAAGUAGAACGCACAGUUUAUACCGUAGCUUGCUACACCAUAAACUGUGAGUUGCGAACGGGUGAGUAACGCGUAGGUAACCUGCCUGGUAGCGGGGGAUAACUAUUGGAAACGAUAGCUAAUACCGCAUAAUAUUAAUUAUUGCAUGAUAAUUGAUUGAAAGAUGCAAUUGCAUCACUACCAGAUGGACCUGCGUUGUAUUAGCUAGUAGGUGAGGUAACGGCUCACCUAGGCGACGAUACAUAGCCGACCUGAGAGGGUGAUCGGCCACACUGGGACUGAGAAACGGCCCAGACUCCUACGGGAGGCAGCAGUAGGGAAUCUUCGGCAAUGGACGAAAGUCUGACCGAGCAACGCCGCGUGAGUGAAGAAGGUUUUCGGAUCGUAAAGCUCUGUUGUAAGAGAAGAACGGGUGUGAGAGUGGAAAGUUCACACUGUGACGGUAUCUUACCAGAAAGGGACGGCUAACUACGUG
This 505-nucleotide ribosomal RNA is filed under the name uncultured bacterium. RNAcentral describes it as "partial 16S ribosomal RNA". It matches the Rfam family "Bacterial small subunit ribosomal RNA", at positions 28 to 507 of the family's 1533-position model. The record is from RNAcentral.